This 514-nucleotide ribosomal RNA is filed under the name uncultured bacterium. Its description in RNAcentral is "partial 16S ribosomal RNA". It matches the Rfam family "Bacterial small subunit ribosomal RNA", at positions 28 to 523 of the family's 1533-position model. The record is from RNAcentral.
GACGAACGCUGGCGGCGUGCCUAAUACAUGCAAGUCGAGCGGAUGAAAGAGGAGCUUGCUCCUCUAGAUUCAGCGGCGGACGGGUGAGUAACACGUGGGCAACCUGCCCUGUAGAUUGGGAUAACUCCGGGAAACCGGGGCUAAUACCGAAUAAUCCUUCGGACCUCAUGGUCCGAUGUUGAAAGACGGUUUCGGCUGUCACUACAGGAUGGGCCCGCGGCGCAUUAGCUAGUUGGUGAGGUAACGGCUCACCAAGGCCACGAUGCGUAGCCGACCUGAGAGGGUGAUCGGCCACACUGGGACUGAGACACGGCCCAGACUCCUACGGGAGGCAGCAGUAGGGAAUCUUCCACAAUGGACGAAAGUCUGAUGGAGCAACGCCGCGUGAGUGAAGAAGGUUCUCGGACCGUAAAACUCUGUUGUGAGGGAAGAACAAGUACCGGAGUAACUGCCGGUGCCUUGACGGUACCUCAUUAGAAAGCCACGGCUAACUACGUGCCAGCCGCCGCGGUAA